AGUGAACGCUGGCGGUAGGCCUAACACAUGCAAGUCGAACGGCAGCACAGUAAGAGCUUGCUCUUACGGGUGGCGAGUGGCGGACGGGUGAGGAAUACAUCGGAAUCUACUUUUUCGUGGGGGAUAACGUAGGGAAACUUACGCUAAUACAGCAUAUGACCUACGGGUGAAAGCAGGGGAUCUUCGGACCUUGCGCGAUUGAAUGAGCCGAUGUCGGAUUAGCUAGUUGGCGGGGUAAAGGCCCACCAAGGCGACGAUCCGUAGCUGGUCUGAGAGGAUGAUCAGCCACACUGGAACUGAGACACGGUCCAGACUCCUACGGGAGGCAGCAGUGGGGAAUAUUGGACAAUGGGCGCAAGCCUGAUCCAGCCAUACCGCGUGGGUGAAGAAGGCCUUCGGGUUGUAAAGCCCUUUUGUUGGGAAAGAAAAGCAGCAGGUUAAUACCCCGCUGUUCUGACGGUACCCAAAGAAUAAGCACCGGCUAACUUCGUG
This 492-nucleotide ribosomal RNA is filed under the name uncultured bacterium. RNAcentral describes it as "partial 16S ribosomal RNA". It matches the Rfam family "Bacterial small subunit ribosomal RNA", at positions 29 to 507 of the family's 1533-position model. The record is from RNAcentral.